GUGGGGAAUAUUGGACAAUGGGGGGAACCCUGAUCCAGCCAUGCCGCGUGUGUGAAGAAGGUCUUCGGAUUGUAAAGCACUUUAAGUUGGGAGGAAGGGCAGUAAGUUAAUACCUUGCUGUUUUGACGUUACCGACAGAAUAAGCACCGGCUAACUUCGUGCCAGCAGCCGCGGUAAUACGAAGGGUGCAAGCGUUAAUCGGAAUUACUGGGCGUAAAGCGCGCGUAGGUGGUUUUGUAAGUUGGAGGUGAAAUCCCCGGGCUCAACCUGGGAACUGCCUCCAAAACUGCAUGACUAGAGUACGGUAGAGGGUGGUGGAAUUUCCUGUGUAGCGGUGAAAUGCGUAGAUAUAGGAAGGAACACCAGUGGCGAAGGCGACUACCUGGACUGAUACUGACACUGAGGUGCGAAAGCGUGGGGAGCAAACAGGAUUAGAAACCCUGGUAGUCC
RNAcentral lists this ribosomal RNA (450 nucleotides) under uncultured bacterium. Its description in RNAcentral is "partial 16S ribosomal RNA". It matches the Rfam family "Bacterial small subunit ribosomal RNA", at positions 354 to 796 of the family's 1533-position model. The record is from RNAcentral.